Molecule: ribosomal RNA, 508 nt
Filed under: uncultured bacterium
Lineage: Bacteria
Description: bacterial SSU rRNA
Rfam family: Bacterial small subunit ribosomal RNA
Source: RNAcentral
GAUGAACGCUAGCGGCAGGCCUAACACAUGCAAGUCGAACGGUAACAGGAAGGAGCUUGCUCUUUUGCUGACGAGUGGCGCACGGGUGCGUAACGCGUAUACAAUCUGCCUUUUACAGGGGGAUAGCCUUUGGAAACGAAGAUUAAUACCCCAUGGUAUCCGGACACCGCAUGGUCGACCGGAUUAAAGCUUCGGCGGUAAAAGAUGAGUAUGCGUUCUAUUAGCUAGUAGGUGUGGUAACGGCACACCUAGGCAACGAUAGAUAGGGGCCCUGAGAGGGGGAUCCCCCACACUGGUACUGAGACACGGACCAGACUCCUACGGGAGGCAGCAGUGAGGAAUAUUGGACAAUGGUCGGAAGACUGAUCCAGCCAUGCCGCGUGCAGGAAGACGGCCCUAUGGGUUGUAAACUGCUUUUGUACGGGAAGAAACCCCCCUACGCGUAGGGGGCUGACGGUACCGUAAGAAUCAGCACCGGCUAACUCCGUGCCAGCCGCCGCCGUAACAC